Molecule: ribosomal RNA, 492 nt
Filed under: uncultured bacterium
Lineage: Bacteria
Description: partial 16S ribosomal RNA
Rfam family: Bacterial small subunit ribosomal RNA
Source: RNAcentral
GAUGAACGCUAGCUAUAGGCUUAACACAUGCAAGUCGAGGGGAAACGGCAUUAUGUGCUUGCACAUUUUGGACGUCGACCGGCGCACGGGUGAGUAUCGCGUAUCCAACCUGCCCUUUACUUGGGGAUACCCCGUUGAAACACGGCAGAAUACCCGAUGGAAUUCAUUGAUGUCAUCAGAUAUGAAGAAAUGAUUUAUCGGUAAAGGAUGGGGAUGCGUCUGAUUAGCUUGUUGGUGAGGUAACGGCUCACCAGGGCGACGAUAAGUAGGGGUUCUGAGAGGACGGUCCCCCACAUUGGAACGGAGACACGGUCCAAACUCCUACGGGCAGCAGCAGUCAGGAAUAUUGGGCAAUGGGCGUAAGACUGAACCAGCCAAGUAGCGUGCAGGAAGACGGCCCUAUGGGUUGUAAACUGCUUUUAUACGCGGAUAAUUUGAUGCACGUGUGCGUUAUUGAAUGUAUCGUAUGAAUAAGGACCGGCUAAUUCCGUG